This 666-nucleotide long non-coding RNA is filed under the name Marmota monax (woodchuck). The record is from RNAcentral. Lineage: Eukaryota; Metazoa; Chordata; Mammalia; Rodentia; Sciuridae.
GCAGGUAUGGUGACAUUAUGGGGAAACUAGGGUAAGUGCAAAGUGUGCAGGAUACAUUGGUUUUAAGUUAUGGGAACCAAAUUUGAACUAGCUUCAAUAGAAAAGCCUUCUUUGGGCCACAUCCAUCCCUAAGGGGCCAAACAGGAGCCAGGCUGAGGGGUAACUGGAAGCAAGAAUCCCAAACCUAGCAGUUAUCUUUCCCCAUUCUUUUGCCCUCUUCCUACUCUUUUUUUUUAAUUUUAUUUCUCCCUGCCAUUCCAAGAUGGUGCCAGGGAAGGUUUAUCUACCCCAGCUACCUGCACUCUUGGCCCAUCUAAUUGGAGAAGGUAGUGGCUUAAGUCAUGUAGAGGAUAGCGGGGUCCUGACCUGAGGAUUCAUGCCAGGUGGUUCUUGAUCCACCAGGAGACUACAGAAUAUGGAAAACCUAAAUGCUGGGGGACAGAUGCCCGAACUCAUGAUCUUUGUCCAGGACUGGGAUUCCUGCACUUGCUCACAGAAAGCACAAGGUUGAGGUGGAAGGGAAACAGCAUGGGUUUGAAGUCACAGAGCUCUAGAGGGACCGGUAACCUUCCUGUCCUACAUGACCUGGGAGGUGUCUGAUGGCCAGCAAGCAGUUACUUCUCUGGAUCUCAGUUUCCUCACACAAUGGAGAGAUGAUCCCCACGG